RNAcentral lists this ribosomal RNA (253 nucleotides) under uncultured bacterium. Its description in RNAcentral is "partial 16S ribosomal RNA". It matches the Rfam family "Bacterial small subunit ribosomal RNA", at positions 524 to 776 of the family's 1533-position model. The record is from RNAcentral.
UACGUAGGGGGCAAGCGUUGUCCGGAAUCAUUGGGCGUAAAGAGCGUGUAGGCGGCCCGGUAAGUCCGCUGUGAAAGUCCAGGGCUCAACCCUGGGAUGCCGGUGGAUACUGUCGGGCUCGAGUCCGGAAGAGGAGUGUGGAAUUCCUGGUGUAGCGGUGAAAUGCGCAGAUAUCAGGAGGAACACCAAUGGCGAAGGCAGGUCUCUGGGCUGACACUGACGCUCAUGCACGAAAGCGUGGGGAGCAAACAGG